ACCCGUAGUGAUAUGGGCGUAUGACUGAAAGCACAUCAUACGGCUUGGCAGAGCUUAAGAACUGUU
Molecule: non-coding RNA, 66 nt
Organism: Streptococcus agalactiae
Lineage: Bacteria; Bacillati; Bacillota; Bacilli; Lactobacillales; Streptococcaceae
Source: Rfam